GCCGGGAUGGCGGAACUGGCAGACGCGCUAGGUUGAGGGCCUAGUCCCUGGCAACGGGGGUCCGGGUUCGAAUCCCGGUCCCGGCACCA
This 89-nucleotide transfer RNA is filed under the name Planctomycetota bacterium. Its description in RNAcentral is "tRNA-Leu". It matches the Rfam family "tRNA". From Rfam's summary of the family: Transfer RNA (tRNA) molecules are approximately 80 nucleotides in length. Their secondary structure includes four short double-helical elements and three loops (D, anti-codon, and T loops). The record is from RNAcentral. Lineage: Bacteria; Pseudomonadati; Planctomycetota.